Molecule: transfer RNA, 63 nt
Filed under: Microselasia barombi
Lineage: Eukaryota; Metazoa; Arthropoda; Insecta; Coleoptera; Elateridae
Description: tRNA-Glu
Source: RNAcentral
AUUUAUAUAGUUUAAUAAAAACAUUACAUUUUCAUUGUAAAAUUAAAAUCCAAUUUAUAAAUA